Molecule: ribosomal RNA, 419 nt
Filed under: uncultured bacterium
Lineage: Bacteria
Description: partial 16S ribosomal RNA
Rfam family: Bacterial small subunit ribosomal RNA
Source: RNAcentral
CCUACGGGAGACUGCAGUGAGGAAUAUUGGUCAAUGGGCGCGAGCCUGAACCAGCCAAGUAGCGUGAAGGAUGACUGCCCUACGGGUUGUAAACUUCUUUUAUAAAGGAAUAAAGUGAGGCACGUGUGCCUUUUUGUAUGUACGUUAUGAAUAAGGAUCGGCUAACUCCGUGCCAGCAGCCGCGGUAAUACGGAGGAUCCGAGCGUUAUCCGGAUUUAUGGGGUUUAAAGGGAGCGUAGAGGGGUUUUUAAGUCCGUUGUGAACGUUUGCGGCCCAACCUUAACAUUUCAAUUGAUACUGGCAGCCUUUAGUCCAGUGGAGGUAGGCGCAUGUCGUGGUGUAGCGGUGAAAUGCUUCGAUAUCACGAAGAACUCCGAUUGCGCAGGCAGCUUACUUAACUGCCACUGACAUUGCUGCUC